This 45-nucleotide ribosomal RNA is filed under the name Tolypothrix sp. HA4964-CV2. RNAcentral describes it as "partial 23S ribosomal RNA". Lineage: Bacteria; Bacillati; Cyanobacteriota; Cyanophyceae; Nostocales; Tolypothrichaceae. The record is from RNAcentral.
GGUCAAGGGAAUAAGGGCUAACGGUCGAUACCUAGGCACACAGAG